RNAcentral lists this ribosomal RNA (406 nucleotides) under uncultured bacterium. Its description in RNAcentral is "partial 16S ribosomal RNA". It matches the Rfam family "Bacterial small subunit ribosomal RNA", at positions 30 to 526 of the family's 1533-position model. The record is from RNAcentral.
AUUGAACGCUGGCGGCAGGCCUAACACAUGCAAGUCGAGCGAGCGGCGGACGGGUGAGUAAUGUAUGGGGAUCUGCCCGAUAGAGGGGGAUAACUACUGGAAACGGUGGCUAAUACCGCAUACUAUCGGAUGAACCCAUAUGGGAUUAGCUAGUAGGUGGGGUAACGGCUCACCUAGGCGACGAUCCCUAGCUGGUCUGAGAGGAUGACCAGCCACACUGGAACUGAGACACGGUCCAGACUCCUACGGGAGGCAGCAGUGGGGAAUAUUGCACAAUGGGCGCAAGCCUGAUGCAGCCAUGCCGCGUGUAUGAAGAAGGCCUUCGGGUUGUAAAGUACUUUCAGCGAGGAGGCGUUACUCGCAGAAGAAGCACCGGCUAACUCCGUGCCAGCAGCCGCGGUAAUUC